GUCAGUCAGUCGAGCAUUAUCGCCUGCAGCAGAGAGACAGUGUUUCCAGCGUUUUUAAGCCUUGGAGUAUCUUUGUCCCAUCACUACUAAAGAAACCACAAGAAUUUGGCGUCACGAACCUCGGACGUGCUGUGGCCUGCAGGUGCAGACGACUGCCUCGACGCAUCUACCUCCGCUCCUAUUGUCGACAGAAAAGGUAUGAGAAAAAAGGGGGGAAAGGCCACAGGGAAUGCUGAAGGAACUUGUCCCGACAGAGAAAAUAAAAUGGACUGGAGGAUGUUCAUAUUCACGACAUCAUUGACACCACGAUGCUGGGAUGACUGCCCAGAGUCAAGGAGGAGCUUCAGUGUGACACAUUCUUAUGUGUUAUAUAUAUACCUUUACAAGUAUUUGUUUGUGUUCCAUUAUGUUAUAAUUGGUGAUAUUCUGUUUAUUGUACAUGUUUGAAGAAUGAUGUUUCUGUUAUGGGGUAAGUACAUUGGGACCUCAGAUGUUUUUUUUCUUUUCUCGAUGGCUAGAGAUAUGGUUGCUAGGCAGGGAUAGGUCUGCUGGAAAGUCCGAUGGGUUGACCAGCUGGAAGGUGGACAUUUUUGAUUUUAUUUUCUGAGGUUUCAUAUGUAUUUGCUAAUUACAUUUUAAGUGAUUCCUUAUCAUCCUUUUAAGAUUGACAUGGAGUACAAUAGGUGGUUGCUCAGGGCAGGAGGACCGUGAGAGACUUUUUCCUGUCUAGAUUGUUUGAUGGACAUUUAAGAAAGAAAGCUGCCUGACAGGUUUUUCGUUGUGGCACUCCAUGUACUUAAAGUAUGCAAGUAAGAGCCUUUCCUUGGUUUUUUGAGACGUACAUGUCCCAAAAAAGGUGGGAACUGUGGUGAAUUUGAUCUUAUUAAUUCUAUAGUCGUAACAUUAAUUUCUAUCAUAUUGGGCCUGGUUGAGUUUAUUUAGUGGGACCUCUGUGUCCAGCUGGACAGGAAAGGGGCCCCCCUGAAUGAUAACAAAUGCUAUAUAUGGGGGUUAGACGACCGGGGCCAUUCUGGAGAAGAAAGUAUGUUUAUACCUAAUUUGGCUUGAGAGGAGCCAUACAUCGGACUGAGGCUAUCUUAACAGAAACCAGAUGUGGGCUAUACGUAAACAGCGGGUAUAAAACUAGGAGCUGAAAUGUAUGUGUCAGAGACUAUUGGCUGUUCUCUCCAAGCUGUUUCGUGAAGGCUUGUUUGUGACUUCGAUCUCUCAAUGCCAAUAAACAUCUUUAUAUGCAAGAAA
Long non-coding RNA from Pygocentrus nattereri (red-bellied piranha), 1260 nucleotides. RefSeq lists it as uncharacterized. The transcript has 3 exons. Lineage: Eukaryota; Metazoa; Chordata; Actinopteri; Characiformes; Serrasalmidae. The record is from RefSeq and is a predicted model, not a curated record.